This 254-nucleotide ribosomal RNA is filed under the name uncultured bacterium. RNAcentral's name for it is "partial 16S ribosomal RNA". It matches the Rfam family "Bacterial small subunit ribosomal RNA", at positions 524 to 777 of the family's 1533-position model. The record is from RNAcentral.
UACGAAGGGGACUAGCGUUGUUCGGAAUCACUGGGCGUAAAGCGCACGUAGGCGGAUAUGUCAGUCAGGGGUGAAAUCCCGGGGCUCAACCUCGGAACUGCCUUUGAUACAGCAUAUCUUGAGUCCGAUAGAGGUGGGUGGAAUUCCUAGUGUAGAGGUGAAAUUCGUAGAUAUUAGGAAGAACACCGGUGGCGAAGGCGGCCCACUGGAUCGGUACUGACGCUGAGGUGCGAAAGCGUGGGGAGCAAACAGGA